This is a long non-coding RNA of Lates calcarifer (barramundi perch), 334 nucleotides long. RefSeq lists it as uncharacterized. The transcript is spliced from 3 exons. The record is from RefSeq and is a predicted model, not a curated record. Lineage: Eukaryota; Metazoa; Chordata; Actinopteri; Centropomidae.
UCUCCGGCUUACAGAUGUUGAGAUGAUCUACAUCCACCUCGAUGAGCUCCCCGAUGCCAAGAUCUGAAACCAAAUCAGAGCAACCUCAAAGACACUUGGCCAUCCAGUCACUGAGGUGACUGUCAUACUCCACUGACAGUACUCUCAGGUUGGGACAGUCAGCAGCCAACCAUGACUGUCAAUGAAACAGGACACAACACGAAGAAGAAUAACACUGCCCCUAGAAUCCCAUGGAUGAACAGUACAUCUGCUUUGAUCGGCUGGCUGGAAAUUAACAUGUGGUCAAAGAUAAGUGUUGGUUUAAAAGUAAAAUAAAAUGAAACAAAUUUUAAAA